Molecule: ribosomal RNA, 215 nt
Filed under: Escherichia sp. E2562
Lineage: Bacteria; Pseudomonadati; Pseudomonadota; Gammaproteobacteria; Enterobacterales; Enterobacteriaceae
Description: partial 16S ribosomal RNA
Rfam family: Bacterial small subunit ribosomal RNA
Source: RNAcentral
UUAAAUUGAAGAGUUUGAUCAUGGCUCAGAUUGAACGCUGGCGGCAGGCCUAACACAUGCAAGUCGAACGGUAACAGGAAGAAGCUUGCUUCUUUGCUGACGAGUGGCGGACGGGUGAGUAAUGUCUGGGAAACUGCCUGAUGGAGGGGGAUAACUACUGGAAACGGUAGCUAAUACCGCAUAACGUCGCAAGACCAAAGAGGGGGACCUUCGGG